RNAcentral lists this ribosomal RNA (917 nucleotides) under marine metagenome. Its description in RNAcentral is "bacterial SSU rRNA". It matches the Rfam family "Bacterial small subunit ribosomal RNA", at positions 8 to 944 of the family's 1533-position model. The record is from RNAcentral.
AGAGUUUGAUCCUGGCUCAGGACGAACGCUGGCGGCACGCCUAACACAUGCAAGUCGAGCGCGAAAGGCACUUCGGUGCUGAUUAGAGCGGCGCACGGGUGAGUAACGCGUGGCCAACCUGCCCCCGGGACCGGGACAACCCUUUGAAAGGAGGGCUAAUACCGGAUGACACCCAGAUCACGGGAUCGGGGUUGAAAGCUCCGGCGCCCGGGGAGGGGGCCGCGUCCCAUCAGCUAGCCGGUGAGGUGAAGGCUCACCGGGGCGACGACGGGUAGCGGGUCUGAGAGGACGAUCCGCCACACUGGCACUGAGACACGGGCCAGACUCCUGCGGGAGGCAGCAGUGGGGAAUCUUGCGCAAUGGGGGGAACCCUGACGCAGCGAUGCCGCGUGGGUGAAGAAGGCCCUCGGGUCGUAAAGCCCUUUUGGCGGGGAGGAUGAUGACGUCACCCGCCGAAUAAGCUCCGGCUAACUACGUGCCAGCAGCCGCGGUAAUACGUAGGGAGCGAGCGUUGUCCGGAAUUACUGGGCGUAAAGGGCGCGCAGGUGGGUUUGCAAGCGGGGGGUGAAAGGCCGGGGCUCAACCCCGGGACUGCUCCCCGAACUGCAAGCCUUGAGGGGGUCAGGGGCCAGCGGAAUUCCGGGUGGAGAGGUGAAAUUCGUAGAGAUCCGGAGGAACGCCGGCGGCGAAAGCGGCUGGCUGGGGCCGCCCUGACACUGAGGCGCGAGAGCGUGGGGAGCAAACAGGAUUAGAUACCCUGGUAGUCCACGCCGUAAACGAUGGGUACCGGGUGUCCGGGGGGUCGACCCCCCUGGGCGCCGCAGCUAACGCGAUGAGUACCCCGCCUGGGGAGUACGGCCGCAAGGCUAAAACUCAAAGGAAUUGACGGGACCCCGCACAAGCAGCGGAGCGUGUGG